This 497-nucleotide ribosomal RNA is filed under the name uncultured bacterium. RNAcentral's name for it is "partial 16S ribosomal RNA". It matches the Rfam family "Bacterial small subunit ribosomal RNA", at positions 28 to 507 of the family's 1533-position model. The record is from RNAcentral.
GAUGAACGCUGGCGGCGUGCCUAAUACAUGCAAGUCGAGCGAACGGACGAGAAGCUUGCUUCUCUGAUGUUAGCGGCGGACGGGUGAGUAACACGUGGAUAACCUACCUAUAAGACUGGGAUAACUUCGGGAAACCGGAGCUAAUACCGGAUAAUAUUUUGAACCGCAUGGUUCAAAAGUGAAAGACGGUCUUGCUGUCACUUAUAGAUGGAUCCGCGCUGCAUUAGCUAGUUGGUAAGGUAACGGCUUACCAAGGCAACGAUGCAUAGCCGACCUGAGAGGGUGAUAGGCCACACUGGAACUGGGACACGGUCCAGACUCCUACGGGAGGCCGCAGUAGGGAAUCUUCCGCAAUGGGCGAAAGCCUGACGGAGCAACGCCGCGUGAGUGAUGAAGGUCUUCGGAUCGUAAAACUCUGUUAUUAGGGAAGAACAUAUGUGUAAGUAACUGUGCACAUCGUGACGGUACCUAAUCAGAAAGCCACGGCUAACUACGUG